RNAcentral lists this ribosomal RNA (671 nucleotides) under Salmonella enterica subsp. enterica. RNAcentral describes it as "partial 23S ribosomal RNA". It matches the Rfam family "Bacterial large subunit ribosomal RNA", at positions 2259 to 2925 of the family's 2925-position model. Lineage: Bacteria; Pseudomonadati; Pseudomonadota; Gammaproteobacteria; Enterobacterales; Enterobacteriaceae. The record is from RNAcentral.
UGGUGGGUAGUUUGACUGGGGCGGUCUCCUCCUAAAGAGUAACGGAGGAGCACGAAGGUUGGCUAAUCCUGGUCGGACAUCAGGAGGUUAGUGCAAUGGCAUAAGCCAGCUUGACUGCGAGCGUGACGGCGCGAGCAGGUGCGAAAGCAGGUCAUAGUGAUCCGGUGGUUCUGAAUGGAAGGGCCAUCGCUCAACGGAUAAAAGGUACUCCGGGGAUAACAGGCUGAUACCGCCCAAGAGUUCAUAUCGACGGCGGUGUUUGGCACCUCGAUGUCGGCUCAUCACAUCCUGGGGCUGAAGUAGGUCCCAAGGGUAUGGCUGUUCGCCAUUUAAAGUGGUACGCGAGCUGGGUUUAGAACGUCGUGAGACAGUUCGGUCCCUAUCUGCCGUGGGCGCUGGAGAACUGAGGGGGGCUGCUCCUAGUACGAGAGGACCGGAGUGGACGCAUCACUGGUGUUCGGGUUGUCAUGCCAAUGGCACUGCCCGGUAGCUAAAUGCGGAAGAGAUAAGUGCUGAAAGCAUCUAAGCACGAAACUUGCCCCGAGAUGAGUUCUCCCUGAGACUUAAAGUCUCCUGAAGGAACGUUGAAGACGACGACGUUGAUAGGCCGGGUGUGUAAGCGCAGCGAUGCGUUGAGCUAACCGGUACUAAUGAACCGUGAGGCUUAACCU